UAAGAUUUUCUUUCAGGUUCCGCAAUAGGUGUUUCGAAUUUUACUAAAUUUUCUUGAUUGGGUUUUGAACUUUCAGCUUCUAAAUCAGCACUUGAUUGUUUAGUCUGGAAUUCAGAAUAUGUUGGUCUAAAUUCAGAAAAUGAACUUCUCGAAUGGUAUGAACUUAUCCUGGGUGGAAUAGGUUCUUUAUAUGAUCCGAAUUGUAAUAAUAUUUUACCAUCUCGUUGUUCAAUUAUUUUUUGAAUAUUUCUUUGUUCAAAAUUUCUAAGGGGUCGAGAAUCGCUUAUUUUCCAUUGUUCUGGGAUAGUAAUUUCAUUCCAAUUUAGUUGCUUAGGUGCAUAAGUAGAUACGGGUGUAUCUUUGCUAUGUACAUAUAGUAUAGUUGUUUCUCCUUUAUCAUC
RNAcentral lists this long non-coding RNA (401 nucleotides) under Brassica napus (rape). Its description in RNAcentral is "long non-coding RNA (BNAP_LNC021422)". The record is from RNAcentral. Lineage: Eukaryota; Viridiplantae; Streptophyta; Magnoliopsida; Brassicales; Brassicaceae.